RNAcentral lists this ribosomal RNA (1017 nucleotides) under uncultured bacterium. RNAcentral's name for it is "bacterial SSU rRNA". It matches the Rfam family "Bacterial small subunit ribosomal RNA", at positions 355 to 1375 of the family's 1533-position model. The record is from RNAcentral.
UGAGGAAUAUUGGUCAAUGGGCGAGAGCCUGAACCAGCCAAGUAGCGUGAAGGAUGACUGCCCUAUGGGUUGUAAACUUCUUUUAUAAAGGAAUAAAGUCGGGUAUGGAUACCCGUUUGCAUGUACUUUAUGAAUAAGGAUCGGCUAACUCCGUGCCAGCAGCCGCGGUAAUACGGAGGAUCCGAGCGUUAUCCGGAUUUAUUGGGUUUAAAGGGAGCGUAGAUGGAUAUUUAAGUCAGUUGUGAAAGUUUGCGGCUCAACCGUAAAAUUGCAGUUGAUACUGGAUAUCUUGAGUGCAGUUGAGGCAGGCGGAAUUCGUGGUGUAGCGGUGAAAUGCUUAGAUAUCACGAAGAACUCCGAUUGCGAAGGCAGCCUGCUAAGCUGCAACUGACAUUGAGGCUCGAAAGUGUGGGUAUCAAACAGGAUUAGAUACCCUGGUAGUCCACACGGUAAACGAUGAAUACUCGCUGUUUGCGAUAUACUGCAAGCGGCCAAGCGAAAGCGUUAAGUAUUCCACCUGGGGAGUACGCCGGCAACGGUGAAACUCAAAGGAAUUGACGGGGGCCCGCACAAGCGGAGGAACAUGUGGUUUAAUUCGAUGAUACGCGAGGAACCUUACCCGGGCUUAAAUUGCAGAUGAAUUACGGUGAAAGCCGUAAGCCGCAAGGCAUCUGUGAAGGUGCUGCAUGGUUGUCGUCAGCUCGUGCCGUGAGGUGUCGGCUUAAGUGCCAUAACGAGCGCAACCCUUGUUGUCAGUUACUAACAGGUUUUGCUGAGGACUCUGACAAGACUGCCAUCGUAAGAUGUGAGGAAGGUGGGGAUGACGUCAAAUCAGCACGGCCCUUACGUCCGGGGCUACACACGUGUUACAAUGGGGGGUACAGAGGGCCGCUACCACGCGAGUGGAUGCCAAUCCCAAAAACCUCUCUCAGUUCGGACUGGAGUCUGCAACCCGACUCCACGAAGCUGGAUUCGCUAGUAAUCGCGCAUCAGCCACGGCGCGGUGAAUACGUUCCC